Molecule: ribosomal RNA, 624 nt
Filed under: uncultured Psychrobacter sp.
Lineage: Bacteria; Pseudomonadati; Pseudomonadota; Gammaproteobacteria; Moraxellales; Moraxellaceae
Description: bacterial SSU rRNA
Rfam family: Bacterial small subunit ribosomal RNA
Source: RNAcentral
CUAUCAGGCGUCGAGCGGCGGACGGGUGAGUAAUACUUAGGAAUCUACCUAGUAGUGGGGGAUAGCACGGGGAAACUCGUAUUAAUACCGCAUACGACCUACGGGAGAAAGGGGGCAGUUUACUGCUCUCGCUAUUAGAUGAGCCUAAGUCGGAUUAGCUAGAUGGUGGGGUAAAGGCCUACCAUGGCGACGAUCUGUAGCUGGUCUGAGAGGAUGAUCAGCCACACCGGGACUGAGACACGGCCCGGACUCCUACGGGAGGCAGCAGUGGGGAAUAUUGGACAAUGGGGGAAACCCUGAUCCAGCCAUGCCGCGUGUGUGAAGAAGGCCUUUUGGUUGUAAAGCACUUUAAGCAGUGAAGAAGACUCCGUGGUUAAUACCCACGGACGAUGACAUUAGCUGCAGAAUAAGCACCGGCUAACUCUGUGCCAGCAGCCGCGGUAAUACAGAGGGUGCAAGCGUUAAUCGGAAUUACUGGGCGUAAAGGGAGCGUAGGUGGCUCGAUAAGUCAGAUGUGAAAUCCCCGGGCUCAACCUGGGAACUGCAUCUGAUACUGUUGAGCUAGAGUAUGUGAGAGGAAGGUAGAAUUCCAGGUGUAGCGGUGAAAUGCGUAGAGAUCUGGAG